This 1834-nucleotide long non-coding RNA is filed under the name Sus scrofa (pig). RNAcentral describes it as "lncRNA (ENSSSCG00055008681.1)". The record is from RNAcentral. Lineage: Eukaryota; Metazoa; Chordata; Mammalia; Artiodactyla; Suidae.
CUGGGGUUUAAAAUGGAACUAUUACUUCUGAAUAUUGGAAGUUUCUCAUUAAGUAAGCCAUACAUGUACUUGAUGACCCAGUACUUUUCAGUUCUAGGUAUUUUAUGCAAGAUACACAAAUGUAUGUCAAAAAAACUUGUAUGAGAAUAUUUAGAACAGCUUUAUUCAUAAUUAUUUCAAAUUGCAAACCACCUAAAUGAUCAUUGUCAUGGUCCGUGCAUUUGGGUUAGAAAAAGAAUUUUCCUGAUUCAUAGCAGGGUGAAAAGAAAGAUGAGUUUACUGAGAUAAGAAAUGCUGCUAGCAUAGUGGGAUGACUUCCUGAUGAUCAGAGAGAGCUGAAUCUGAGCGUGUGAUCAUGUCUGUUUUAUAGUCUAGGGGGAGGAAAGGUCUUAGUGUACACUUGCUGAUAGGCUGACUGGUUAGGGAAAGAGGGUCUUACGAUACACUUGCUGGUUUGUUGGGGGCAUAUAAGGUCCUUAUAGAGGUGGGGGAAGAGUGGGCCUUUCAUAGUAGGGGUCAGGAAGGACUAGGACAGUUGCUCAAGUUGGGAGGGGGCACUACAAUGAGAUGGAUGGGGCAAUGAUAAGGAUCUAGUAAUUCUUUUUGGGGGGUCUAGUAAAUCUUUAAUUUUUUUUUUAACUUUUUUUACUUUUUAGGGCUGCACCCACUGCAUAUGGAAGUUCUCAGGGUGAAAUCAGAGCUGCAGCUGCCAGCCCACACCACAGUAACAGCAACUCAGGAUCUGAGCCAUGUCUGCAACAUACACCACAGCUCACAGCAAUGCUGGAUCCUUAACCCACUGAGCAAGGCCAGGGAUCAAACCUGCAUCCUCUGGAGUUCCCAUUGUGGCACUGCAGAAAUGAAUCUGACUAGGAACCAUAAAGUCCCACAACCAUCAACAGACUAAUUGGAUGCCCAUAACCAAAACAAAACAAAACAAAACAAAAACCCAGCACAACCAGAUCAUCUGAGAAAUCCAUCCAUCACUGCAACCAGAAGAGAGUGGAUCGGACCUUAUCAGUGCCUACAAGAGUCAAGGUAGUCACAGUGGUAACAAUGGCAGUAGAGGCAGCUGGUGGACGAUCCAGCAGAGGUGACUGAAAAUGAAAUUCUCUCUGGCUGCUCUGGUGCAGCUGGAGGGACAUGUUCCUCUUCAUCAGCACCUGGGUUUCUGUAAAGGGACCUCUAUGGCUGUGCAGAGGGAAGAAAAAUGAAGAAGGCAGAGAAAGGAAUGUAAACAAACACAUUUGUCUGCCCUGGGAUUUCAGGGCAAGGUUCACCCACCUCUGGGACUCCUCAACUUGAGGAUGUCCCCACUGGUUUGUGUAUACACCCAAAACCCCAAUGUGCCAAGCCCACACCUUCCCUAAUUCUGUCACCAGCCGGUUUUUGUUUUGUUUUGUUUUUGCUUUUUAUUCCUGGAUUAUAGGUACACACCUAACUAUAGCAGCUAGUCAACUGUGGUAAGAGAAACCAAUGAUUGUGCUAUAGUGCCACCUUUUUGAAAAGAAAGAAAAAUUUUGAAUUGCCAAUAUAUUGACAUACUAAAUUCAAACUAAACAAAGCUUUCCCUAAAUAAGAAAAGUGUGUGCUGCUUCAGAUGAGAUCAACAAAGCACAUUUUAUAAAAUGCUUUGCAAAGUCAUGGUAAUAUGACAUCACAAAAAGAAAAUGAGUUUUCCAGCAAUUGAUCUCAAAGCCAUGGAAUAUUGUAAUCUAAUUAUUAAAGAAUUCAAAAUAGCUCUUAUUAAGUAAGUCAACAAGGUGCAGGAAAAUUCAGAGGUAUUUCAAAGAACUCAGGAAUAAAAUUAGUAAAAAGAAGGAGUACUUUACCA